Long non-coding RNA from Pyrgilauda ruficollis (rufous-necked snowfinch), 663 nucleotides. RefSeq lists it as uncharacterized. Lineage: Eukaryota; Metazoa; Chordata; Aves; Passeriformes; Passeridae. The record is from RefSeq and is a predicted model, not a curated record. The transcript is spliced from 4 exons.
GGCGCCGCGCCCGCCGCGCCCCGCCCCGCUCCGCCGGGUAUUUAGCGGGAUCCCGGGAAGGAAUUGGCCUUUCCGAGCGGGACGGAACCGGAGCGGUCGCGUCUGCCCGCCUCCAGUCGGGGCAGAAAGUGAAGCUCAAGAUGAGUUUGUUGCUGGCUUUGGAAAUCCUCAGUCUGGACUCUGCCGUGCCUUGCAAGCAGAAAGAUGUCACAUGAAUUCUGGAGCUACAGAAGUUCUGUGACAUCAGAUGACCACCUCCGCUGUCUUCCAGCCUUGUGUGUGCACACAGGGCCAGCAGGAGAGUCCACCACUUGUAGAAGUGUGGGUGUUUAAGGAGCUUGAAAACAGCAGCCUGGAAUGUGGAGUUCUAAUGCACUUGGAAAUGGUUGCAUUGCCCUUCCUGCUCAUCAGAAAUACUGCUUGGUUCCGUAGUACAGCAGGGAAGUAGCUGUUCACUGAAAACGAAUAAUCCUGGAAUGAAGUUCGGGGUAGAGUGUCACUCCUGAAAGAGAAGUGGCCUUCUGGACAGUCUUAGAACUUACUAUGAAUUUUUGAGUGUAUCAAAUAAAUGGAUCAAAAGUGAAUAAGGCAAAGAUUAAAAUGUGGGAAAAUUUGUGUUGUCUAAAUGAGUGUUUACAGUGUUAGUAGUGGGUACGAAUAAAA